Molecule: ribosomal RNA, 482 nt
Filed under: uncultured bacterium
Lineage: Bacteria
Description: partial 16S ribosomal RNA
Rfam family: Bacterial small subunit ribosomal RNA
Source: RNAcentral
AUUGAACGCUGGCGGCAUGCUUUACACAUGCAAGUCGAACGGUAACAGGCCGCAAGGUGCUGACUAGUGGCGAAGGGGGGAGUAAUGCAUCGGAACGUGCCCAGGCGUGGGGGAUAACUAGUCCAAAGAGGAGCUAAUACCGCAUACGAGCUAUGGAGGAGAGCGGGGGGGCGCAAGGGCUCUCGCGAUUUGAGAUGACGAUGUCAGAUUUGGUAGUUGGGGGGGGAAAGGCGCACCAAGACAACGAUCUGUAGCUGGUCUGAGAGGAUGACCAGCCACACUGGAACUGAGACACGGCCCAGACUCCUACGGGAGGCAGCAGUGGGGAAUAUUGGACAAUGGGCGCAAGCCUGAUCCAGCCAUGCCGCGUGUAGGAAGAAGGUCUUCGGGUUGUAAAGCGCUUUUGUAUGGAAGGAAACGCAUCUGGUUAAUACCUGGCUGUAAUGACGGUACCGAAAGAAUAAGCACCGGCUAACUACGUG